RNAcentral lists this ribosomal RNA (253 nucleotides) under uncultured bacterium. RNAcentral's name for it is "partial 16S ribosomal RNA". It matches the Rfam family "Bacterial small subunit ribosomal RNA", at positions 524 to 776 of the family's 1533-position model. The record is from RNAcentral.
UACGAAGGGGGCUAGCGUUGCUCGGAAUCACUGGGCGUAAAGGGUGCGUAGGCGGGUCUUUAAGUCAGGGGUGAAAUCCUGGAGCUCAACUCCAGAACUGCCUUUGAUACUGAAGAUCUUGAGUUCGGGAGAGGUGAGUGGAACUGCGAGUGUAGAGGUGAAAUUCGUAGAUAUUCGCAAGAACACCAGUGGCGAAGGAGGCUCACUGGCCCGGUACUGACGCUGAGGCACGAAAGCGUGGGGAGCAAACAGG